AGUGGCGGACGGGUGAGUAACGCGUGAGAAUCUGCCUUGGGGUCGGGGACAACCACUGGAAACGGUGGCUAAUACCGGAUAAGCCGAUUGGUGAAAGAUUUAUUGCCCGAAGAGGAGCUCGCGUCUGAUUAGCUAGUUGGUGAGGUAAGAGCUCACCAAGGCAGCGAUCAGUAGCUGGUCUGAGAUGACGAUCAGCCACACUGGGACUGAGACACGGCCCAGACUCCUACGGGAGGCAGCAGUGGGGAAUUUUCCGCAAUGGGCGAAAGCCUGACGGAGCAAGACCGCGUGAGGGAGGAAGGCUCUUGGGUUGUAAACCUCUUUUCUCAGGGAAGAAGCUCUGACGGUACCUGAGGAAUCAGCCUCGGCUAGCUCCGUGCCAGCAGCCGCGGUAAUACGGAGGAGGCAAGCGUUAUCCGGAAUUAUUGGGCGUAAAGCGUCCGCAGGUGGCGAUUCAAGUCUGCUGUCAAAGCACGGGGCUUAACUCCGUAAAGGCAGUGGAAACUGAAUAGCUAGAGUGCCGUAGGGGUAGAGGGAAUUCCCGGUGUAGCGGUGAAAUGCGUAGAGAUCGGGAAGAACAUCGGUGGCGAAAGCGCUCUACUGGACGGCAACUGACACUCAGGGACGAAAGCUAGGGGAGCGAAUGGGAUUAGAUACCCC
RNAcentral lists this ribosomal RNA (660 nucleotides) under uncultured bacterium. Its description in RNAcentral is "bacterial SSU rRNA". It matches the Rfam family "Bacterial small subunit ribosomal RNA", at positions 94 to 788 of the family's 1533-position model. The record is from RNAcentral.